Molecule: ribosomal RNA, 272 nt
Filed under: uncultured bacterium
Lineage: Bacteria
Description: partial 16S ribosomal RNA
Rfam family: Bacterial small subunit ribosomal RNA
Source: RNAcentral
CCCGCCGGCGACCGGCGCACGGGUGAGUAACACGUAUGCAACCUGGCCGCCACAGGGGGAUAACCCGCGGAAACGCGGCCUAAUACCCCGUGACGCCACCGGAGGGCAUCCUCCGGUGGCCAAAGGAGCGAUCCGGUGGCGGAUGGGCAUGCGGCGCAUUAGCUAGUCGGCGGGGUAACGGCCCACCGAGGCGACGAUGCGUAGGGGUUCUGAGAGGAAGGUCCCCCACACUGGUACUGAGACACGGACCAGACUCCUACGGGAGGCAGCAG